CGCCUGCCCCUGCUUCCCGAGUGCUGGGA
This 29-nucleotide non-coding RNA is filed under the name Rattus norvegicus (Norway rat). The record is from RNAcentral. Lineage: Eukaryota; Metazoa; Chordata; Mammalia; Rodentia; Muridae.